CCUCUGCAGAGCACCCUGUUGACAUUUUCUGAAACAGGUUCCAUCCUGACCCUGGAGAGCCAGCUGACUUGUGGAAACAGCAGGAUGCCAUUCUGAGCCAAGCCCAGUGGAGCUGGAAGAGGGCAAGCAGAGAACGCCCCCGCCUCCAGGCCCCGAGCACUGUGAGCUGUCUGCCUGCACAGGGCUGCCUGACCCCACCCUCCUGACCACGUCCCCACUCCUGGGGACGGUUCCCGGCCUCCACGGCAUCCCGGGGAAGGCAACAGAGAUGGACUGGAGGGCACGGGAGGACACGCAUUCACUGACCGUCCAGCCCAGCAAAGCAAGAAACCGUCAAAAACUAAAAAUUCCAUUUGUAAACAAGAUCGAAUUAUUUGAUUGUG
RNAcentral lists this long non-coding RNA (383 nucleotides) under Homo sapiens (human). Its description in RNAcentral is "HSALNT0216150". Lineage: Eukaryota; Metazoa; Chordata; Mammalia; Primates; Hominidae. The record is from RNAcentral.